ACGGCUCAGUAACACGUAGUCAACAUGCCCAGGGGACGUGGAUAACCUCGGGAAACUGAGAUUAAACCGCGAUAGGUCAAGAUUUCUGGAAUGGAUCCUGGCUUAAAUCUACAUGGCCCCUGGAUUGGACUGCGGCCGAUCAGGCUGUUGGUGAGGUAAUGGCCCACCAAACCUAUAACCGGUACGGGCUCUGAGAGGAGAAGCCCGGAGAUGGGCACUGAGACAAGGGCCCAGGCCCUAUGGGGCGCAGCAGGCGCGAAAACUCUGCAAUGGGCGAAAGCCUGACAGGGUUACUCUGAGUGAUUUCCGCUAAGGAGAUCUUUUGGCAGCUCUAAAAAUGGUGCAGAAUAAGGGGUGGGCAAGUCUGGUGUCAGCCGCCGCGGUAAUACCAGCACCCCGAGUGGUCGGGACGAUUAUUGGGCCUAAAGCAUCCGUAGCCGGUUGUGCAAGUCCUCCGUUAAAUCCAGCCGCUCAACGGAUGGGCUGCGGAGGAUACUACAGAACUAGGAGGCGGGAGAGGCAAGCGGUACUUAGUGGGUAGGGGUAAAAUCCUUUGAUCCAUUGAAGACCACCAGUGGCGAAGGCGGCUUGCCAGAACGCGCUCGACGGUGAGGGAUGAAAGCUGGGGGAGCAAACCGGAUUAGAUACCCGGGUAGUCCCAGCUGUAAACGAUGCAGACUCGGUGAUGGGCUAGCCUCGUGUCAGCCCAGUGCCGCAGGGAAGCCGUUAAGUCUGCCGCCUGGGGAGUACGGUCGCAAGACUGAAACUUAAAGGAAUUGGCGGGGGAGCAC
Molecule: ribosomal RNA, 791 nt
Filed under: uncultured archaeon
Lineage: Archaea
Description: bacterial SSU rRNA
Rfam family: Archaeal small subunit ribosomal RNA
Source: RNAcentral